AGUGAACGCUGGCGGCAGGCCUAAUACAUGCAAGUCGAACGGCAGCACAGUGGAGCUUGCUCCAUGGGUGGCGAGUGGCGGGACGGGUGAGGAAUACAUGGGAAUCUGCCCAGUCGUGGGGAUAACGUAUGGAAACGUACGCUAAUACCGCAUGCGCCCUUCGGGGGAAAGUCGGGGACCGCAAGGCCUGACGCGAUUGGAUGAGCCCAUGUUCGAUUAGCUAGUUGGCGGGUAACGGCCCACCAAGGCGACGAUCGAUAGCUGGUCUGAGAGGAUGAUCAGCCACACUGGAACUGAGACACGGUCCAGACUCCUACGGGAGCAGCAGUAGGGAAUAUUGGACAAUGGGCGCAAGCCUGAUCCAGCCAUGCCGCGUGAGUGAAGAAGGCCUCGGGUUGUAAAGCUCUUUGUUGGGUAAGAAAGC
This 424-nucleotide ribosomal RNA is filed under the name uncultured bacterium. RNAcentral describes it as "bacterial SSU rRNA". It matches the Rfam family "Bacterial small subunit ribosomal RNA", at positions 29 to 451 of the family's 1533-position model. The record is from RNAcentral.